This 467-nucleotide ribosomal RNA is filed under the name uncultured bacterium. RNAcentral's name for it is "partial 16S ribosomal RNA". It matches the Rfam family "Bacterial small subunit ribosomal RNA", at positions 29 to 507 of the family's 1533-position model. The record is from RNAcentral.
ACGAACGCUGGCGGCGUGCUUAACACAUGCAAGUCGAACGGAAAGGCCCUGCUUUUGUGGGGUGCUCGAGUGGCGAACGGGUGAGUAACACGUGAGUAACCUGCCCUUGACUUUGGGAUAACUUCAGGAAACUGGGGCUAAUACCGGAUAGGAGCUCCUACUGCAUGGUGGGGGUUGGAAAGUUUCGGCGGUUGGGGAUGGACUCGCGGCUUAUCAGCUUGUUGGUGGGGUAGUGGCUUACCAAGGCUUUGACGGGUAGCCGGCCUGAGAGGGUGACCGGCCACAUUGGGACUGAGAUACGGCCCAGACUCCUACGGGAGGCAGCAGUGGGGAAUAUUGCACAAUGGGCGGAAGCCUGAUGCAGCAACGCCGCGUGCGGGAUGACGGCCUUCGGGUUGUAAACCGCUUUCGCCUGUGACGAAGCGUGAGUGACGGUAAUGGGUAAAGAAGCACCGGCUAACUACGUG